UAGGGAAUAUUAGAAAUGGACGCAAGUCUGAUCUAGCAACACCGCGUGUGCGAAGAAGGCCUUCGGGUCGUAAAGCACUUUUUGGAAGGAAUAGGAAGGAAUGUACUUCCAGAAUAAGUCUCGGCUAACUACGUGCCAGCAGCCGCGGUAACACGUAGGAGGCAGACGUUAUCCGGAUUUACUGGGCGUAAAGCGCGUGUAGGUGGUACUGUAAGUAGGGCGUGAAAGCUCCUGGCUCAACUGGGAGAGGCCGUUCUAAACUACAGAACUAGAGGAUGGUAGAGGGAGGUGGAAUUCCAGGUAUAGCGGUGGAAUGCGCAGAUAUCUGGAGGAACACCGGUGGCGAAGGCGGCCUCCUGGACCAUUCCUGACACUCAGACGCGAAAGCUAGGGUAGCAAACGG
Molecule: ribosomal RNA, 403 nt
Filed under: uncultured bacterium
Lineage: Bacteria
Description: bacterial SSU rRNA
Rfam family: Bacterial small subunit ribosomal RNA
Source: RNAcentral